This 253-nucleotide ribosomal RNA is filed under the name uncultured bacterium. Its description in RNAcentral is "partial 16S ribosomal RNA". It matches the Rfam family "Bacterial small subunit ribosomal RNA", at positions 524 to 776 of the family's 1533-position model. The record is from RNAcentral.
UACGUAGGGGGCAAGCGUUGUCCGGAUUUAUUGGGCGUAAAGAGCGUGUAGGCGGCCAGGUAGGUCCGUUGUGAAAACUCGAGGCUCAACCUCGAGCUGUCGAUGGAAACCAUCUGGCUGGAGUCCGGAAGAGGAGAGUGGAAUUCCUGGUGUAGCGGUGAAAUGCGCAGAUAUCAGGAAGAACACCCGUGGCGAAGGCGGCUCUCUGGGACGUGACUGACGCUGAGACGCGAAAGCGUGGGGAGCGAACAGG